UUAGUAUUAUUCAUGAAUGGAAGGUGGCGUCAUCUGUUGACCAAAAAAAGGCGGGAGCGGAGAAAAUGGCGCGCGAACGCCAUUUUUUCCGCUUUCCUCUUACAGUCCAGAAUGGUCUUGAAAUUCAGUUUCUUCGUUGUCGAUGCAACCGAAUUCCAAGACCAUCCUGGAUUGAUCUUCCUGAAGACGAGGAUAUCCUAUUAUCAGACGUAUAUGUAAUUCCCAUAGGUUUCACUGAAAUGAAAUACUUCACUUAGUACUGUUAAUUCCUCUAAGAUACCGCAUUAAAUGAAUCCGCAUUGAGUGAAAUCAUAUUGCUAUAGGAAAAUAAGUAAUUCAUUCCUAACAAAUUUUGUUGAAACAAAAAUAUAUGUAUAUUUACCUAACAUUAAUGAAAAAUAAUAAAAGGAUG
This 412-nucleotide long non-coding RNA is filed under the name Androctonus crassicauda. The record is from RNAcentral. Lineage: Eukaryota; Metazoa; Arthropoda; Arachnida; Scorpiones; Buthidae.